AAGCCCCAGUAAACGGCGGCCGUAACUAUAACGGUCCUAAGGUAGCGAAAUUCCUUGUCGGGUAAGUUCCGACCCGCACGAAAGGCGUAAUGAUUUGAGCGCUGUCUCGACAAUGCAUCCGGUGAAAUUGAAGUACCAGUGAAGAUGCUGGUUACCUGCGCCAGGACGGAAAGACCCCAUGGAGCUUUACUCCAGUUUGGUACUGGGAUCCGGUGCUGCAUGUACAGGAUAGGUGGGAGGCUGAGAAGGUGUGACGCCAGUCAUACCGGAGCCGCUGUUGGGAUACCACCCUUGCAGUAUUGGGUUUCUAACCAGCCGCCGUGACCCGGCGGUGGGACAAUGCCAGACGGGGAGUUUGACUGGGGCGGUCGCCUCCGAAAGGGUAUCGGAGGCGCCCAAAGGUUCCCUCAGAAUGGUCGGAAACCAUUCGAAGAGUGCAAAGGCAGAAGGGAGCUUGACUGCGACACCGACGGGUGGAGCAGGUACGAAAGUAGGGCUUAGUGAUCCGGUGGUAUUAAGUGGGAAUGCCAUCGCUCAACGGAUAAAAGCUACCCUGGGGAUAACAGGCUUAUCACUCCCAAGAGUUCACAUCGACGGAGUGGUUUGGCACCUCGAUGUCGGCUCAUCGCAUCCUGGAGCUGUAGCAGGUUCCAAGGGUUGGGCUGUUCGCCCAUUAAAGCGGUACGCGAGCUGGGUUCAGAACGUCGUGAGACAGUUCGGUCCCUAUCUGUCGUGGGCGUAGGAAGUUUGAGAAGAUCUGUCCUCAGUACGAGAGGACCGGGAUGGACAUAUCAAUGGUGCACCAGUUGUCACGCCAGUGGCACAGCUGGGUAGCUAAAUAUGGAAGGGAUAAACGCUGAAGGCAUCUAAGUGUGAAACCCACUUCAAGAUGAGACUUCCCAUUACGCAAGUAAGUAAGACCCCUUAAAGACGAUAAGGUUGAUAGGUCAGGAGUGUAAGCAUGGCGACAUGUUCAGCGGACUGAUACUAAUAGGUCGAGGACUUAACCU
Molecule: ribosomal RNA, 1010 nt
Filed under: human gut metagenome
Description: bacterial LSU rRNA
Rfam family: Bacterial large subunit ribosomal RNA
Source: RNAcentral